Molecule: ribosomal RNA, 398 nt
Filed under: uncultured bacterium
Lineage: Bacteria
Description: partial 16S ribosomal RNA
Rfam family: Bacterial small subunit ribosomal RNA
Source: RNAcentral
CUACGUAGGGUGCGAGCGUUGUCCGGAAUUACUGGGCGUAAAGAGCUCGUAGGUGGUUUGUCGCGUCGUCUGUGAAAUUCCGGGGCUUAACUCCGGGCGUGCAGGCGAUACGGGCAUAACUUGAGUACUGUAGGGGAGACUGGAAUUCCUGGUGUAGCGGUGAAAUGCGCAGAUAUCAGGAGGAACACCGGUGGCGAAGGGGGGUCUCUGGGCAGUAACGGACUCUGAGGAGCGAAAGCAUGGGUAGCGAACAGGAUUAGAUACCCUGGUAGUCCAUGCCGUAAACGGUGGGCGCUAGGUGUAGGGGUCUUCCACGACUUCUGUGCCGUAGCUAACGCAUUAAGCGCCCCGCCUGGGGAGUACGGCCGCAAGGCUAAAACUCAAAGGAAUUGACGGGG